GUCUUCCUGUUUUAUCUAUCUUUGAAGGAGGACACUCCUUCAAGCGAAACAGGUUUUAGUUGGAAGAAUACUUUUUCAAAAGCUCCCAGACAGCAUAUACAGCCUUAUUUGACUCGGGAAUAGGACAAUGAACAACAUUUGGCACAGUAAUUAACUUAUUCAAGGAUUCAUAAGACUUUAAGUUGGGAGAAUGGAACCACUCCACGACCCAGAGUGAGGGCCAGUAUGAGAAGAAUCCAGGGGCCAGCCCCUCUGAGGGUGAGAAUCGUGACGAUUGCCAACCUCACCAACCUCUAACGAUCCCACAACAAUGUAAAGAAGACCAAUCUGGCUCCAAGACAGAAGUGUAUUAUGAAAAUCAGUUAUUUCCUUGGAGAUGUAACAUCACAGCCUCAACAGCGGUGGUCCCAUUUCAGGCUGGGGUGGCUGCUGUGAACAUACCUCCUCAUCCAGGCUUCAUCUCAAUAGGACCAUCUCCAGACUGUGUCCAGGCAGCUCUACCUCACAGCAUUCACCUCAACACCAGCUUCUUCAAUGAUGCAGUGAAAACACAUCAGGGAUGAUGAGCUGCAGUAGCCCUGGAAGAAGAGAUGAAGUCUCGUGUUGCAAUGUCUCCUAGCCCUGGUUGGAGUCCUUGUGCCAUCAUUCUGCCUGUUCUCAUGCAUUACGACCUAGGUGAGGAGGUUGUGUGAAACAGCAGUAUAUCUUCCCCACCAGAUCGUCAUGACCAUAGAAGUAAACUUGAAUGACCUGACGGAUCUCACCCGUUUCAUUCUUUAUUGGGGAUCCAGAUGUCCCUAUUGGAGAAGAUAGGGCCUACUGCCAUUGAAAUGACCCCGAUCCCUAUGAACCUCCCUUGAUCCCCCGAUUGUUAUUAUUAAGUUACCUUCAGGAGUUCCAUUCAGAUCACCCCUUUCUGUGUAAAAUGCCAAUUUCCCAAAAACCAGAAGGUUUUAAGUUCUGUCUGACAAUAGAUCAGAUUAAUAAUGUAUGGUGAUGCUUAUGGUUUCCAGGGCAUCAAAGGGGGAAUUGUGGUGGCAAAAUUUGGGGUGAGCUAUUGUAACUUCUCAAGGGAUAAGUUCUGUGUUGAACUGUGAUGUUAUGCCUUGCAUAGACUCCUGUUAUGUCUGCACCCUAACACAAGGCCAUUGUGUUCUGGAACUGUUGCUUGUAUAAAAUAACUGUUGUGUAACAAUAUGAUUGUUUGAUCACCUCCCACUAUAUAAGGGACAUGUAACCAUUUAGAGUUUGAGUUCUUACCUGUGAAAUCAGAGAUAGAUGUCCCUCGCAGCUGCUUGGUUAAAGAUUUUUCUAUUAUACAAUUAUUAAAUAGUCUCUGCCUUAAUCUUUGGAUCGAGCUUUCCACAACAGUACUGAAGGUCGGGUUGAUAACACUUCUCUGCUGAUAUUUUGCAUCAGAUUAACUCCGAAAUAGGGACAAAAUCGGCAGACAACAGGUAAAGUAAGUUGAAAUGAAGUUUGUUCAACAUUCUGACUUGUAAUGGGACUGUUUGGGAAUGCUGAGCCUACAUGUUAGAGACGAGUGUGUAAGUAUUUUACUCUCAGAUUCUAAAAGAGGAUAGCUGUACGUAGGCCUAUCUAUAGUGCCUUCAGAAAGUAUUCACAACCCUUGACUUUUUCCACAUUUUGUUGUCACUGGCUUACACACAAUACCACAUAAUGUCAAAGAUGAAUUCUGUUUUUUGAAAUUUUGACAAAUUAAUUAAAAAUAAAAUCUUG
Coregonus clupeaformis (lake whitefish) is the source of this 1740-nucleotide long non-coding RNA. RefSeq lists it as uncharacterized. The record is from RefSeq and is a predicted model, not a curated record. Lineage: Eukaryota; Metazoa; Chordata; Actinopteri; Salmoniformes; Salmonidae. The transcript is spliced from 5 exons.